UACGGAGGGUGCAAGCGUUGCUCGGAAUUACUGGGCGUAAAGGGCGUGUAGGCGGUUUCGUAUGUCUGGCGUGAAAGCCCCGGGCUCACCUCGGGAAGUGCGUCGGAAACUGCGAGACUAGAGUCCCGGAGAGGGAGGUGGAAUUCCAGGUGUAGCGGUGAAAUGCGUAGAUAUCUGGAAGAACACCGGUGGCGAAAGCGGCCUCCUGGACGGUGACUGACGCUGAGACGCGAAAGCGUGGGGAGCAAACAGGAUUAGAUACCCUGGUAGUCCACGCCAUAAACGAUGAGCACUAGGUGUCGCGGGUAUUGACCCCUGCGGUGCCGCCGCUAACGCAUUAAGUGCUCCGCCUGGGGACUACGGCCGCAAGGUUAAA
RNAcentral lists this ribosomal RNA (376 nucleotides) under uncultured bacterium. RNAcentral's name for it is "bacterial SSU rRNA". It matches the Rfam family "Bacterial small subunit ribosomal RNA", at positions 524 to 898 of the family's 1533-position model. The record is from RNAcentral.